Molecule: long non-coding RNA, 3630 nt
Organism: Mesocricetus auratus (golden hamster)
Lineage: Eukaryota; Metazoa; Chordata; Mammalia; Rodentia; Cricetidae
Exons: 2
Source: RefSeq, a predicted model, not a curated record
UACAGAAAUGGCCAUGUGGGUUGUCUCGACAGCGGCCUGAUGAAGGUGACCAUCACCUAAGAGGUUACCAAGGCCUCUACAGGGGCAGAGGAGGAAGUGUGCUAGGGUCCUGAGAAGUACCUGGAGUCCUGGUUCUCAGGGUCUCCUCCAAGAGGAAGUAGAGGCAGGGACCAAAACGAUCCUUGGCUUUGGAGCCGGGAACUGGAAGAGUCUCAGCCCUUCAUUGGUCGGAGGUUGUGCCUGCUUUGCAGAAAGGCAGCUCCAGCCAGGAAGACAGAUGAGGAUAGUGCCUUUGCUUCCAGAACUAACUCAAGGCUGCCUCCUGGGCAUGCUCCGUAGGCUCUGGGGCUACAGUUUGCACUCUAACUGCUGCAGAGAUAGCAUACAAUCUCCUGCUUCCUUCUGCAUCCACUCCUCCACAGUUCCCACCUACUACCAAGCAGGUGACCACUGCUAUCACAAAGAAUGUACGACCAUUGACCAGCUGGAUUUUGGGUAUGGUGGGACUUUAAGAACUCGUGUUUGUACUCACACAGGACACAUACAUCUAUCUGUACUCAUGAAUACACACACAUGGAUGCACACAUGUACAUGUGCAUGUACACACACACCAGGAACUUGUGUCAUGAAAACCUGAAACAAGCUCAAAUUAAUGCUUGGCCCAAGGAGAACUGUGUGUCAGUCCCCUGAUGAGGGGUAGGGAAAUGAAAGUCAGGGAGGGAGGCUGAGCAAAUGUGGAAAGAUGAACAUGAAUGAUACCUAGUCAGCCCGGGACUGGUCUCUCAGAGAAUCAAUUCCCUAAAACCAAGACUUGGCACAGCUCAGAGAUGUGCACCCAGUGUGUUGCAUCAGUGUGUUUUUCUGGGCUUCCAUCUGUGUGGAGGGAACGGGAGGUAGUCAGGGGUGACAAAGAGCCUUUUCAGUAGCUUAGCACAAAUGCUAAACACCCAGUGCUUGCUUCACUUCUUCAGGAAGUUGCUUUUGGAUGCUCUCAGCUGAAGGCUACCGAAAGCAACUCCCCCUCCUCCUCCCGCCAAGCAAGCACAGGGCAUUGGAGGAUCUUUCCUAACUAGCUGGCUCAUCUGCUGGCAAAGCUGACCUCUCGAAUGCAAGAAAGGCUGUCUGCUCACAUGUGUGGCCAGCACUGCCCUCUACCGUCCUCAGUGAGCUUCUCAGUCUGCCAUGGAACACCUGGCUUAGAAACCUGAUGUCCUGUGGCCGCAGCUGUUGCAGGUGUCUCAUGGAGCUGCACAACCUCCAGGACCUGCUGAGGAUGACUGGCCUGGGUCAGCAGGAUGGCCCACCCCGGAACAAACCGCUUUUCUGUCUUCACAACACUGCCUGCCUUUCAGAAAGGAAGGCCAACCCUCUCAGCUGGGGCUGGCUUGCAGAGGAGAGUGACCUUGCUUCCAGGCCUCAUGUCAGGGCUGCCUCCUGGGGGACUGGUUUUGUCCUCUUCAUGCUCUGUAUUGUCCACUGUCCUCUGUCUCCUGUCCCUCCCUACCCAUGUUCUCAUGGUUUUGAAGCCCAAGCCUUAGACCUCCCGGUACCAAGUUCCCCCCUAAGAAUACGAAAGGUAAUGCAGGCAACUUGACUGGCACAGGACAUGUCCGGUCAUGGUGAUCAGGGAGUAUAAACUUCAUUAGUUGUGGCCAAACAUGUGACUCUGACAGCAGGUUUAUAAAGACUGGAAGAGUGACAAGCCUCCCCCAACAAGGAGCAUCAUUCUGCUCUUUCACCCAAAUCUAGAAAGCUGCUGAGUGCACAGCCAAGAUCAGGGCUGUUACUAUGACAGGGUGACUCUGAUGUGGGACAGAAGCAGCUUCAUUGACAGGGAGAAUGAGGGUUGAUGGUUCAGCACAGAUGGCACCCUCAAAGCGCAGGAAACAACCUCACCCACAGGGAGUAGGCACCUCAGGGCCCCUGCUGUCUAUAGGCCUGUGUACCCAACUUUGUAUUGUAAAGGAACAAAGAAAGAUGAGGGGCAGAGAAGGAGGCAGAAUCCAGAGAGGAGGUGGCUUUCCCUAACGACCAGCCAACCUGUUGGCAUCCAAAGGAGGAAGAUUCUAGAACAGUGUCCAGGACUCUGAGUAGUUGGUGUGUUUGUCUAUUUCUAUGAGUACUUGGCUAGGCAGCCUAAAUUGGCAAGUAUGGAGCCAUAUUGGGAGAGACAAGCCUAAGGGCAGAGAUCUGGCUUGCACAGGUGCUAAGCAGGACAGGGCUGGCACUGUCCUUCUUAUCUCUCUCCUGACAAGGACCUGGUACCCCCAGUUUGUAAGCACCUCAGAACCCCGCUCAUAGCCACUUAGACCUCUAACACAGCAGCAACCAGGACUUCCCUGGCCCCAUGCUUGGCUCUGUUCCCAUUUCUCAACCUUCAUUAUUUUAGUCAGACCUAGGACUAGAUACUCAAGGGUGCAUCACUGGUCUCUGUGGUCAUUGUGGCAUUGAGUGGAAGAAAUGGAACACCCUCAAUCUGAUCAAAAACCCAAGACAAAGAAGAAGACAUAGAAAAUUGAGAUAAGAUCAUCUUUUGCCCAUCUGGAUCUAUGGAUUCUCCUAUUUCUUCUAUUCCAUUUACAGGGUUGACCAGCAGAUGGGGUAGAAGAAGAAUCCAGUUGUACCAACUACAGAAAGGGAGAAGAUGUCUAGAAGGAAAGCUGGUCCAGAAGACAGCUGAGGGAAAAGUACCUGGGAGCAAGAGUUCUGUGCUCCAGACGGCAUGCUGGCAGCUGUUGGGCUAGCGUGAGAGCUAGGCUGCAAGGGGCUGGGUCAAACUGAAUGGCAGCAGUGACUCAACAAGGCCUGGACAAAAAAAAUGUUCUGAUGGAGAGGCAGGGGGUUUUGGACUGCAGCUAGAGGCCGUGGGAGAAGCGAGCCUCAAGCAAAGCAGCUCAGGAUGCAACUCCUAUGUGAAUAACCAGCGGAAGAGGGGGCUGUGCACGUACUUGACGUUGGUGUUGGUGCAGAUGACGUACUCGAUCUCAUCGGAAUAGGGGUUCUGGAAGGUGAAGCUGCUGGUACGGAUCAACAGCCACUCCCGGUUCUUGGUGCGGAACCGAUACAUGACCGACAGCACUUGGCCCUUCAGCUUAACCACCUGCAAAAACAUUUGGACAAGGAAGUCAGCAGGAGGAGGAAGAGGAAUGGCUAGGCAGUGUGGCCGGUUGCUGAGAAGGCCAGCAGGACCUCAGAAUAGGCGGGCUGCUUCCAACCACAGCAAGGGGGGCUACGAGAGUAAGAGUGACAGGUAGAAGCUAAGCUCUCACUUCAUCUGCGUCCCUUGAAACAGGGAGGGCACUGCCCUCGGGUCAUUCUGCCAUCUCGGGUGAGGGACCAGUAACAGUCAAUGCUUCUAAUUCAGUGAAUACAAAUCAGAUGGUGAGCACACCAUAAGAGCUGUAUUUCUUCAUUUUCUUUUUUUUUUCUCCCCCCUUGGGCUUCAUUAGGAUUAGAUGCUAGUAUUCUUUGGAGUAGCUUGUCUCAUAGAGGUAUGCAGCUACAAUGCAUCAUGGACUCAUUUCUUAGAUGGGCUUAAUUCACAUAAGAUUUUAACCUCUGUUUGACAUUGUAAAAUGAAUCAAACUCUCAGGAAGGAGGUGGAAUAAAAUGGUAGGUCUGUAUGCAUUA